UCUUGAAAGCUCAUCUCUAAUGAAGUUUUUGCUGGAAAAUUCAAGGUCUGUCAAGCAUUGCUGUUUUCUAAAUGUUUUCUUCUUUCCCUUUUAAUAACUGUGGCUCAUGUUGCCUUUCCCCAGACGUGUCUGUGUUUGCAAAUACCACGGCCGAAUCCCUUUGUGUUGCUCCCAAGGCCAUAUUAAAACUCUCAACUUUCCUUGACAUUAUUUCUCUGUCUGCUCUGGUGUUUCUAGCCUCCUCCAAAUUAGUAUCAACUGAGAACUUAAUGAGCAUGCUGUUUACUUUCUCUUCCAGACCACUAAUGAAGAUGUUAAAUAAGAUGUCUUCUCUUUGUGUGUUACCCGGCGUGUGACCAAUUAAUGAAAUCCAGUGGAUGCUGGUAAAACCAUCACCUUGAUUGUGAAACUUCAGUAAGACCGCCUAUUGGAGUUUUGCAUAGUUGAGGAUAAAAUGAAUAAAAUGUAUCAAGUUAGUUUGGAUUACUUGAAUCGCCUGUUACAUCCACUAGCUCCUGAAAAGCCAAGAUAUGGAUAGGACUAUCUUCAAGAGCUUGUGACUUCACCUGAAGAUGAAACCUCCUUAUGUUUGGGGACUUGGUCCCAGAUGCAAAACACCAACACGCAUCAAGCCCAUCCCAUGACUCCAAAAACAAGCUUCCCGGCAUUCUUCUCAAUGAUGGGUGCUGUUCUUUCUGCUGUGUAAGGCCAGAGAGCCCUAAAUCUGAGGAUCCAUCACUCUUCUCUAUGAUACACUGCUGUUUCUCUCUCUACUCAUGAAGUCUUGCAGUGCAGUUGGAGUGUCCACCUUGUUUAUGGCUGUUGAUACCUAAAUUUGCCACCUCUGACAAUUAAAGCAGUU
Ornithorhynchus anatinus (platypus) is the source of this 862-nucleotide long non-coding RNA. RefSeq lists it as uncharacterized. Lineage: Eukaryota; Metazoa; Chordata; Mammalia; Monotremata; Ornithorhynchidae. The record is from RefSeq and is a predicted model, not a curated record. The transcript has 4 exons.